GCCACCCGACCAUCCUGAACGCACGUGAUGCCAUCUGGCUUGGGAAGCUAAGCAGGAUCCGGCUUGGUUAUUACCUGGAUGGGAGACCUCCAGAGAGAACCACCUCGGCAGGUU
This 114-nucleotide ribosomal RNA is filed under the name Pogona vitticeps (central bearded dragon). The record is from RNAcentral. Lineage: Eukaryota; Metazoa; Chordata; Lepidosauria; Squamata; Agamidae.